RNAcentral lists this long non-coding RNA (405 nucleotides) under Carica papaya (papaya). RNAcentral's name for it is "long non-coding RNA (CPAP_LNC016609)". The record is from RNAcentral. Lineage: Eukaryota; Viridiplantae; Streptophyta; Magnoliopsida; Brassicales; Caricaceae.
GUAUCAAGUGUCUUGUUCGGCUGUUUAUCUCUGAGGGGUAUCUAUUCCCCUUACCCUUCAGAGUAUCUAUUUUUUCCUCCCAUAUCUGGUUUGGAAAGACUUAUGAGGACCACUCCUAGUGGAUGAGGGCAUGCCCUCUGACGAGAGUGGUGUCGCGCUAUCUAUAGGGGUCACCCGUAGCUAAGUAAUGUCAUAACUAUAGAUAUCUAUUGGUACGACCAUUUUCAUAUAUCGUACCAUGGUUUGGCCAGCCAAAAAUAGGCCUGAGAAAAUUGUUGUAUUUGUAUAUGAUCUUAUCAUUCCACUUGGUUAGUUGGAAAUCUGUAUCUGCUCUCAAAGAUGGAAGUUGUAACGACUUCAAAAAGCAUAAUCUAGCAUGAUGUAUGUUUGAUUUUCUAUGCUAAC